AUGGCCAUACCAUGCUGAAUAUACCGGUUCUCGUUAGAUCACCGAAGUCAAUCAUCAUUUGGAGCGGUCAGUACUUGGGUGGGUGACCACUUGGGAACACCGCGGGCCGUU
RNAcentral lists this ribosomal RNA (111 nucleotides) under Caerostris darwini. The record is from RNAcentral. Lineage: Eukaryota; Metazoa; Arthropoda; Arachnida; Araneae; Araneidae.